UACGGAGGGUGCGAGCGUUGUCCGGAAUCACUGGGCGUAAAGGGCGCGUAGGCGGCAGGCCAAGCGUGCGGUGAAAGUCCGGGGCUCAACCCCGGAUCGGCCGUGCGGACUGGUUUGCUGGAGCACUGUAGAGGCGAGUGGAAUUCCGGGUGUAGCGGUGGAAUGCGUAGAGAUCCGGAAGAACACCGGUGGCGAAGGCGGCUCGCUGGGCAGUGGCUGACGCUGAGGCGCGACAGCGUGGGGAGCAAAC
RNAcentral lists this ribosomal RNA (250 nucleotides) under uncultured bacterium. RNAcentral describes it as "partial 16S ribosomal RNA". It matches the Rfam family "Bacterial small subunit ribosomal RNA", at positions 524 to 773 of the family's 1533-position model. The record is from RNAcentral.